RNAcentral lists this ribosomal RNA (373 nucleotides) under uncultured bacterium. RNAcentral's name for it is "bacterial SSU rRNA". It matches the Rfam family "Bacterial small subunit ribosomal RNA", at positions 93 to 500 of the family's 1533-position model. The record is from RNAcentral.
CAGUGGCGGACGGGUGAGUAACGCGUGAGAAUCUGCCCUCAGGAGGGGGAUAACGGCUGGAAACGGCCGCUAAUACCCCAUAUGCCGCGAGGUGAAAUGAAUUUCGCCUGAGGAUGAGCUCGCGUCUGAUUAGCUAGUUGGUGGGGUAAAGGCCUACCAAGGCGACGAUCAGUAGCUGGUCUGAGAGGAUGAUCAGCCACACUGGGACUGAGACGCGGCCCAGACUCCUACGGGAGGCAGCAGUGGGGAAUUUUCCGCAAUGGGCGAAAGCCUGACGGAGCAACGCCGCGUGAGGGAUGAAGGCCUCUGGGCUGUAAACCUCUUUUCUCAAGGAAGAAGAUCUGACGGUACUUGAGGAAUAAGCCACGGCUAA